AAAGGGUGCGUAGGCGGCCUGUUAAGUCAGGGGUGAAAGACGGUGGCUCAACCAUCGCAGUGCCUUUGAUACUGACGGGCUUGAAUGCAGCUGAGGUAGGCGGAAUGUGGCAAGUAGCGGUGAAAUGCAUAGAUAUGCCACAGAACACCGAUUGCGAAGGCAGCUUACCAAAGUGUGAUUGACGCUGAGGCACGAAAGCGUGGGGAUCAAACAGGAUUAGAUACCCUAGU
Molecule: ribosomal RNA, 230 nt
Filed under: uncultured bacterium
Lineage: Bacteria
Description: partial 16S ribosomal RNA
Rfam family: Bacterial small subunit ribosomal RNA
Source: RNAcentral